RNAcentral lists this ribosomal RNA (497 nucleotides) under uncultured bacterium. RNAcentral's name for it is "partial 16S ribosomal RNA". It matches the Rfam family "Bacterial small subunit ribosomal RNA", at positions 28 to 507 of the family's 1533-position model. The record is from RNAcentral.
GAUGAACGCUGGCGGCGUGCCUAAUACAUGCAAGUCGAGCGAACAGAUGAGGAGCUUGCUCCUCUGACGUUAGCGGCGGACGGGUGAGUAACACGUGGAUAACCUACCUAUAAGACUGGGAUAACUUCGGGAAACCGGAGCUAAUACCGGAUAAUAUAUUGAACCGCAUGGUUCAAUAGUGAAAGACGGUUUUGCUGUCACUUAUAGAUGGAUCCGCGCCGCAUUAGCUAGUUGGUAAGGUAACGGCUUACCAAGGCAACGAUGCGUAGCCGACCUGAGAGGGUGAUCGGCCACACUGGAACUGAGACACGGUCCAGACUCCUACGGGAGGCAGCAGUAGGGAAUCUUCCGCAAUGGGCGAAAGCCUGACGGAGCAACGCCGCGUGAGUGAUGAAGGUCUUCGGAUCGUAAAACUCUGUUAUUAGGGAAGAACAAAUGUGUAAGUAACUAUGCACGUCUUGACUGUACCUAAUCAGAAAGCCACGGCUAACUACGUG